This is a non-coding RNA of Deltaproteobacteria bacterium, 72 nucleotides long. Lineage: Bacteria; Pseudomonadati; Myxococcota; Myxococcia. The record is from Rfam.
UGGGGCGUCGACAAGCGGUAAGUCUCCAGGCUUUGGACCUGGCAUUCGGAGGUUCGAAUCCUCCCGCCCCAG